GACGAACCGAGCGAACGUUGUUCGGAAUCACUGGGCUUAAAGGGCGCGUAGGCGGGCCAUCAAGUCAGGGGUGAAAGCCCCCAGCUCAACUGGGGAAGUGCCUCUGAUACUGGUGGUCUCGAGGGAGAUAGGGGCGUGCGGAACUUCCGGUGGAGCGGUGAAAUGCGUAGAUAUCGGAAGGAACACCGGUGGCGAAAGCGGCGCGCUGGAUCUCUUCUGACGCUGAGGCGCGAAAGCCAGGGGAGCGAACGGG
RNAcentral lists this ribosomal RNA (253 nucleotides) under uncultured bacterium. Its description in RNAcentral is "partial 16S ribosomal RNA". It matches the Rfam family "Bacterial small subunit ribosomal RNA", at positions 524 to 776 of the family's 1533-position model. The record is from RNAcentral.